This 882-nucleotide long non-coding RNA is filed under the name Numida meleagris (helmeted guineafowl). RNAcentral's name for it is "lncRNA (ENSNMEG00000003459.1)". The record is from RNAcentral. Lineage: Eukaryota; Metazoa; Chordata; Aves; Galliformes; Numididae.
AUAUUAGGGCCUUAUAAUGGUAGGGUCAGUUCUUAAACACAAGUCCUUUUCUUACUGUCUUCAGGCUGAUAAGGGUUUUUAACAAAUACUCCAGUUUUGGCUCUUCUGUUGCACCCUUAUAAGACUUGUUGUCUUCGAGUCUUUUCUUGUUAAGGUGGAAAAUGUCUCCAAGACGUGCUGCAUUGCAAUGGUAGCUGGAAAUGCAAAGAGAAAAAGGGGUCAACCCCCCCAGUAGGGGUCAGGGAACACCUGAGCUGAUCUGCCUCCACCACAAGCAGGAAUGGUAAUAGAGCACAGCUGAGACACCUAAGUGUGCAAUCUCUACCAGGUUUUGCACAGAACUGGGCACAGCUUUGAAAAUCUGUCAUGCAAGUGGAGACCAAUACAGAGAGAGCUUCAUUCAGAAGAAAUUGCUAUUGUUUCUUUGCCUUCCCAUGGGAAAGCUUUCAUUUUGGAAACCAUUCAAUAAAUGUAAGGAGUUCUUUGACAUACAAAUGGAUGUGCGGAGUUGGAGCAGAGGUGCAUCUAGUGAAGUAACCAAUCUCCUAAUGCAUGCUUAGGAAAGAGAAAAAGAACAAGCUUCCUCUACUAAUAAUCCACACACCUGCACUUGGCCAGGCUACUGACAGAAAUGACCAGUGCCAUUGUGAACUUUGGUGUUUCCUGAUCUGAAGUGUUUAUGUAGAAGCUAGAACAAAUGCCUAAACCUGUGGGACUAACAUGUCAUGUCAAACAUUGCAUGGCUUUUUUAGCUUUCCCUUCCUAUAUUCCAUUCCUUGCUAUGUUAUACUUCCAAGUUGUCUAGAGCAGAAAUCUUUUCUCAUAUCAUAGCCCUUCAGCCAAAAAUAAUAAAAUAUAAUGUACAAGAAUAAUUAAGAUGCA